Molecule: ribosomal RNA, 587 nt
Filed under: uncultured bacterium
Lineage: Bacteria
Description: partial 16S ribosomal RNA
Rfam family: Bacterial small subunit ribosomal RNA
Source: RNAcentral
UGGGGAAUUUUGGACAAUGGGCGAAAGCCUGAUCCAGCAAUGCCGCGUGUGUGAAGAAGGCCUUCGGGUUGUAAAGCACUUUUGUCCGGAAAGAAAUCCUUGGCUCUAAUACAGUCGGGGGAUGACGGUACCGGAAGAAUAAGCACCGGCUAACUACGUGCCAGCAGCCGCGGUAAUACGUAGGGUGCAAGCGUUAAUCGGAAUUACUGGGCGUAAAGCGUGCGCAGGCGGUUUGCUAAGACCGAUGUGAAAUCCCCGGGCUCAACCUGGGAACUGCAUUGGGUGACUGGCAGGCUAGAGUAUGGCAGAGGGGGGUAGAAUUCCACGUGUAGCAGUGAAAUGCGUAGAGAUGUGGAGGAAUACCGAUGGCGAAGGCAGCCCCCUGGGCCAAUACUGACGCUCAUGCACGAAAGCGUGGGGAGCAAAACAGGAUUAGAUACCCUGGUAGUCCACGCCCUAAACGAUGUCAACUAGUUGUUGGGGAUUCAUUUCCUUAGUAACGUAGCUAACGCGUGAAGUUGACCGCCUGGGGAGUACGGUCGCAAGAUUAAAACUCAAAGGAAUUGACGGGGUCAUAGCUGUUUCCU